This 496-nucleotide ribosomal RNA is filed under the name uncultured bacterium. Its description in RNAcentral is "partial 16S ribosomal RNA". It matches the Rfam family "Bacterial small subunit ribosomal RNA", at positions 29 to 507 of the family's 1533-position model. The record is from RNAcentral.
AUGAACGCUGGCGGCGUGCCUAAUACAUGCAGGUCGAGCGAACAGACGAGGAGCUUGCUCCUCUGACGUUAGCGGCGGACGGGUGAGUAACACGUGGAUAACCUACCUAUAAGACUGGGAUAACUUCGGGAAACCGGAGCUAAUACCGGAUAAUAUAUUGAACCGCAUGGUUCAAUAGUGAAAGACGGUUUUGCUGUCACUUAUAGAUGGAUCCGCGCCGCAUUAGCUAGUUGGUAAGGUAACGGCUUACCAAGGCAACGAUGCGUAGCCGACCUGAGAGGGUGAUCGGCCACACUGGAACUGAGACACGGUCCAGACUCCUACGGGAGGCAGCAGUAGGGAAUCUUCCGCAAUGGGCGAAAGCUUGACGGAGCAACGCCGCGUGAGUGAUGAAGGUCUUCGGAUCGUAAAACUCUGUUAUUAGGGAAGAACAAAUGUGUAAGUAACUAUGCACGUCUUGACGGUACCUAAUCAGAAAGCCACGGCUAACUACGUG